GCAGCGAGCUCAGCAGCACGACCGCCACCAGGGCCAGCGCGACGUACCACGACGCGGCGUCCAAUACGGACACGACGGCGGCCAGGGGUCUCCUUGCCGGUGAUGCCAUCCUCUCCUUUUCCUUGUUCUUGCGGUGGGGAUGAGUUAGGACCGUAGGGAAGGUAUUUAUAGGGAGUAGAAGGUUUUAGAGAGAGGGGAGAUAUAUGGGGCGGGAGGGGUUCGCGCGGGGGCCACACCAAGAUGGGUCCCACACAGGAGUCGUGGCCGGAGAAGGGGUGAUUUGGUGAAGUCUAUUCUCCUAACUAGUGCUUGCUUUCGUGGGGUCAAACCAAUGGGUGAUGGAUAUGGAGGCAAGCGGGAUGGAUAUGGAAACCAUUAUUCUGGAAAGGCAUCUUGGAUGGUGGAUCAAAGAAUCUUUGCCUCUAUAGAGUUCGUGAUAAUAUAUGUGGGUGAUGGGAGGAUCCUGUUACUGCAUGCCCCACACCUUCUUCUCUCCUCCUCCUCCUGCAAAAGGGAGUUUGUUUGUGGAUCAAAGAAUUAGGGUUUUAUCUGCUUUGCAGAUAUCAUAUAUAUUCUAAUGUUUAAAGCACAGUCGUUUAUUUUCUAUUAUUAUUAAAUAUAAAUAAAAUUAACUAAAUAUUGUUUUCUCUAUAAGAGAUAAGGUAAGUUUAUUGGAAGACGAUCGGUGACUUAUUAAGUUUUAAAAAUUAAUAAUGAUAAAUCAUUAUUCUAAUUUUAGAAUAUGUGUGGUUCUUAUUUUUUAUUUCUGUAUCACAUCAAUUUAUUUUCAUGUGAAAAGUAGAAGCAUGUGAUUCAAUUUUAGAAUUUGAAGGAAUAUUAAUCAUUUUCAUAUGCUGACAUAAAUGAUUGUUGAUCGUUCAUCUUCUUCGAUCGGAAUGAAUCGGCAACCCGUGAACCAAAAACAACAAAGUGGAGAGAAGCAGCAGCAGAGAAAACAGCUAAAAUCUACCACCAAAUAGUCACGCUUCACAGGAGAUGAUUGGAAGACAGAUUGCUACCUAGAGUGGACAUCACUUUCAAUCACCAAGGCUUCAGCCUUCAGCCUUGGCGAGGCAGGCCGACUUACCCUCACACGCAACUGUUCCACUUUAGUGCAUGUUACUGGUGCUGCUAAUUCACUUUCCAUGGUUCUUCCGACGUGGUAACUUGUCACCUCCAUUAAGAGGAGAACUUCUCUCUAUAAGGUAGUGAGAGAGAGAGAGAGAGAGAGAGAGAGAGAUCAUAAGAUAUCACAUCAUUGGUAAAAAAACAUAGAGAUGCAGUUAACUACAUCAGUUUGAUAGGGGAUCUAAUAUGUAUAGGAGAAUUAGAAUCUUUGGUAGGGGUAACACCAUAUAUGAUAAACUCUACAAGGUAGCAUCUUGAAUUGAAGCAGAUCGGACAGUGCUGGUAACUGGAACAGGUGGAAGCUGGACAGCCACCGAUGGAGGAGGGCAAGAACAAUCGAUGCUUGACUUGCAAAGUAAAAGGAUGUCGACAUCCAUCGUCGCCAUGAUCAAGGGGUGCAUGCAUGAGUGCGCCCGACGCCGACGGCGUCGAACGCCACCCGCUCGUUCUGGCCAUCGGAUGCGAAGUGGGGGGAGGAAUGGUGGAAUGGGCGAAGUUGUGCUGUACAGCUGAUGUGAAGUUGAGAGAUUUGCGCACCAACAUAUACAAAAGACUUUCGGUGCGUAAUGGAGUCAUCAUCACCGCACCACACCGUCGUGGCCCCAUCCAUUUGUUCCGCCUUUCGACCUCUGGCUUUUCAUCGAUCAUCACGUGUGGCCUUUCCUGUUCAUCUUUCCUUAUUUAUAAUAUGAGAUUAUUAAUCCGUCAUUUGGAACGAGGAUAAGCCCUUUUAAGUUAUAAACAACUAAGGCUUCAUUAAAGUCAUACGUAUUAUAAUUAUUCAUUUGUUCAACCAAAAAAAUUAAGACCCAAAGGAUCGUCUCAUAUCGUCCUU
RNAcentral lists this long non-coding RNA (1963 nucleotides) under Musa acuminata (dwarf banana). Its description in RNAcentral is "long non-coding RNA (MACU_LNC000079)". Lineage: Eukaryota; Viridiplantae; Streptophyta; Magnoliopsida; Zingiberales; Musaceae. The record is from RNAcentral.